AGGCAUCUUGGGCAGGUGACUGAACACUGGAGCCAGUGUCCCUGGGAGAUAGGGAAGUCCCUCCCCAUGAAGGGACCUAGGUUCUUUGUAUCCUCUCCUGUAGUCCUGGGCCAAUAACUGACUGCUUUAUGGAAAACACACACACACAAAACAAACAAACAAACAAAGAAACCACCUUGCAUUCAUGCCCCAAGACUGAGCAGACCCUGUGGUACAGUUUAUUCCCCAGAGGCCCCAUGGGAUCAAGCUGAAGCCCAGCUGCAUCGGAGACCACAUCCUUUUUCAUUUUUCUUUCCUCCCUUCCCAAUAUGGCUCCCACCGACCCCUACAUGUUUCUUGUGAGUGCACUCCAUUGAUAAAUGUCUUGCACAAACAUCCCCUUCUCAGGUUCUGCUCCAGGGAACUGUACCCAAGACACUACCAGCAUCUGUCCCUCAAUGCCACACACCUGUCAUCCCACACAUCAAAAGGAAUCCCACGUAAUAGGAUACAAGCACAACUGCAAACACACUCACUGCCCCCGCCCCCUCCAACAAGGAGACAAAUGAAAAGUCCAUCACUCAUCCAGAGAAGACUUUUUAGAGCCACUGUUCUUGGAGCCUGUUACCUCUGGGAGAAACUGCAACUGUAGCAGCAUUCCUUCCCCCCAGGAAUGUGACAAAGAUGAGCACCAUUCCAACACCUGUUGCUGAGGCACUUUCCAGGGGUCUAGCUGUGGAGGCCCCUACUCUUCUCUAGAGCAGGCACUUCAAUCUUCAGGCCAAAACUAAAAUGUCUGCAUGACCACACUGCCAGGUUGCCCAAGAUUGGCUGACUUUGUAUGCAUCCUGAUUAAAAAUGGCAUCUUG
This 848-nucleotide long non-coding RNA is filed under the name Homo sapiens (human). RNAcentral describes it as "HSALNT0393012". Lineage: Eukaryota; Metazoa; Chordata; Mammalia; Primates; Hominidae. The record is from RNAcentral.